CCUGGCGGUAAUAGCGCGGUGGCACCACCUGACUCCAUGCCGAACUCAGUAGUGAAACGCCGUAGCGCCGAUGGUAGUGUGGGGUUUCCCCAUGUGAGAGUAGGACGCUGCCAGGU
Molecule: ribosomal RNA, 116 nt
Filed under: Serratia symbiotica
Lineage: Bacteria; Pseudomonadati; Pseudomonadota; Gammaproteobacteria; Enterobacterales; Yersiniaceae
Source: RNAcentral